ACAGGUGCUGCAUGGUUGUCGUCAGCUCGUGCCGUGAGGUGUUGGGUUAAGUCCCGCAACGAGCGCAACCCUUGUCGUUAGUUACACUCUCUAACGAGACUGCCCCUAAAAGGGAGGAAGGAGGGGAUGACGUCAAAUCAUCAUGUCUCUUACGUCCUGGGCUACACACACGCUACAAUGGCCAGUACAGACGGUUGCUAAGUCGCGAGGCGGAGCCAAUCCGACAAAGCUGGUCUCAGUUGGGAUUGCAGGCUGAAACUCGCCUGCAUGAACGUGGAGUUGCUAGUAACCGCAGGUCAGCAUACUGCGGUGAAUACGUUCCCGGGCCUUGUACACACCGCCCGUCACGUCAUGGAAGAUGGUAACA
This 367-nucleotide ribosomal RNA is filed under the name uncultured Chloroflexota bacterium. RNAcentral describes it as "bacterial SSU rRNA". It matches the Rfam family "Bacterial small subunit ribosomal RNA", at positions 1034 to 1419 of the family's 1533-position model. Lineage: Bacteria; Bacillati; Chloroflexota. The record is from RNAcentral.